This is a long non-coding RNA of Lathyrus oleraceus (garden pea), 1135 nucleotides long. RefSeq lists it as uncharacterized. The transcript is spliced from 3 exons. NCBI's taxonomy places the organism in Eukaryota, Viridiplantae, Streptophyta, Magnoliopsida, Fabales, Fabaceae. The record is from RefSeq and is a predicted model, not a curated record.
CAGUUUUUUGAGCGUUUUUCACUGUGUGAGGCUGUUUUUUGGUUGUUGAGUUAGUUAUUUUCCAGAUUUUGUUCACAUAACUCAUUUUUCACUAAUUUCACUUCAAAUUUGCUAAUUGAGAUUAGUAGAGUGGAUUAGCAUUGGUACAAAUCACUAAUUGUAACAGAAUUUGAGAAGACAUUUUUCAUUCUCCAAGAAUCAUAACAGAAUUUCCCUCCCAAAACCUCUCAAAUUCUCCAAACUUCAUCAUACAUUUUUCAUCAAUUCUCAUCCAAUUCUUCAUCAUUUUUGAUCAUUCUUCUUGGAUCUACACUCUACAAGUGAUUGUGCAUAACUGUUUCAACAAACUCGUGGCCAAAGCUUGCUGAAUUUGGACUGUUGCAUUCAAGGUCAUCAAUGGCGAUUUCAUGAUUCUUCAAGCUGGAGCUGUUUUGAGCUGCAAAACCUCUUUCAAUCAUCUUCCUAAGCUUCAAUCAACUUCUGUUUUCAUCUUGUGGAUCUUGAAACACGCGAUUGCAACUUCUACACAUUCAUAAGGUACUUUAGUUGCUCAGUUCCUUGUGAACUUUUGCUUUGCGUUGCUUAAGCAACUUGCAUUGAGUGUGUAGGAAAUGUGCAAGAAUCCAUAGAAAAAGACACAAUUCAAAGAACAAGGAACAAAGCCAGGUGUUGGAAAUUUUGGUAUGGCGGCCUGACGCAAACUGGCGAGCAGGAAGUGAGCUCGUCGGGAAAGACCUAGCGAAGGAAAGGUGAGCUCUCCGGGUGAGAUUUGGAGAGCUCGGGGCAAGCUAAAGGAAAUGGAUAUCAGGGUCAAAACUCGUGUUGGUCGCUCGACGAGGCUUGGUGAACUUAAGUUCGUCGGUGAAAUGGGUUUGCCGAGCGAGAUUAGAUAUAUUUAUCAGUUUGAUGCACUAUGAGUACCAGCUGGGUCAAAAAGCAACUUUCAUAAGGCGAGGAUAAAUAGAUCCAAAUCAUAUUUUUGGGGUUCUCUCUUGAAUCUCUUGGACUCUCAACUGAUAGAUAGCUAGGGCUGAAGAGAAAACCAGUUUUGGAGAAAGUGGGGCUUAGAAAACAAUAAGUAGGUGUGUUUCAUGAAGAUUCAGAGUUGGAUUCACUUAUAUUGUUGGGAAAUUGU